This is a long non-coding RNA of Etheostoma cragini (Arkansas darter), 178 nucleotides long. RefSeq lists it as uncharacterized. The transcript is spliced from 3 exons. NCBI's taxonomy places the organism in Eukaryota, Metazoa, Chordata, Actinopteri, Perciformes, Percidae. The record is from RefSeq and is a predicted model, not a curated record.
GGGUCCGGCUAGUCCACACAGCAUUCCGGGACGGGAGAAAAACGUGCUUUGGUUGAUUGGCAUUUCUGUAAAUCAAUGACAAUCAUCUUGGCCGGUGCUAAGCGCCAAACAGAGCAGUGGUACCGCUGCAAAAUAGCCUCGGGAAGGAGCUCGUUUUGGUGGAACGUGUGUACGUCCA